This 495-nucleotide ribosomal RNA is filed under the name uncultured bacterium. Its description in RNAcentral is "bacterial SSU rRNA". It matches the Rfam family "Bacterial small subunit ribosomal RNA", at positions 30 to 518 of the family's 1533-position model. The record is from RNAcentral.
UGAACGCUAGCGGCAGGCUUAACACAUGCAAGUCGAGGGGCAGCGGGAUGUAGCAAUACAUUGCCGGCGACCGGCGGAUGGGUGCGUAACGCGUAUGCAACCUACCUAUACAGGGGAAUAACCUUUCGAAAGGGAGACUAACACCCCAUGGUAUUGAUUUAAGGCAUCUUAGAUUAAUUAAAUAUUUAUAGGUAUAAGAUGGGCAUGCGUAUGAUUAGCUAGUUGGUAAGGUAACGGCUUACCAAGGCGACGAUCAUUAGGGGUUCUGAGAGGAAGGUCCCCCACACUGGUACUGAGACACGGACCAGACUCCUACGGGAGGCAGCAGUGAGGAAUAUUGGUCAAUGGGCGCAAGCCUGAACCAGCCAUGCCGCGUGCAGGAAAGACGGCCUUAUGGGUUGUAAACUGCUUUUACAUAAGACUAACCGUAUAUUUGCGAAUAUACCUGAAUGUAUUAUGAGAAUAAGGAUCGGCUAACUCCGUGCCAGCCGCUGC